AAUAAGUUUAUAUCGGCGUUAAAAGGUCGCUUUAAAUUUAUGUAGAGAUUAAAGAUGUUUUCGAUCUUUUAAAUGGCGUGGGCAGAGAAAGAGAGAGAGACUUACGGCGCUCGUACCUAUCGAAGAGAGGCGCGGUGGUGCAUUUCCGCGAUGCAACAGCUGUUUGUAUGCGCAGGAAAAGACUCGACUUCCGAGUAUACUGUAAAUAAAUAUGGGCUGGUACCGUGUGGUCACGCAUCGGGAGCCUCGAGUCGCAUAUCGCGAACGUUAGAUAAACCUAGUGUCACACACAUCCGCAUAAGAGGAUCGCUGGCGAUCGAUCAAGCGGCUCGAGAUAUAUUUCUCCUUCCAGGCUGGGAAUCUGUUACCAUCUUUCUACAUCUCGACUUGAAAUAAUAUAUUACGCGGCGACCCUUACGAAAUUGUUUGGAUUAUCUAGAUUGUAUAGUUCGCCGGAAAUGAGUUAACGGCACAAAUGCUAACGAGAACUUUCUGCAGAGUUGAGUCUUGCGAAUUUAUUUUCAGUCCAUAUUCGAUGGGUGAUCCUGACUUUCUCGCAAGAUAUUUAUCCCCCCCCCCUCUCCCUUCGUAUAAUCGGAAAUAGAACGCAAGCUCUCUAAAUCAGAAUUAGUGAAAACUCGAUCAGUGGAAAUACACUGACUUCCAGUGAUAUACAUAUUGAUUAUCAGUGAAAUAAAUACACUGACUAAUUGUAAAGUGAAAAUUACUGAAAGACAGUGAAUAUCCACUGAUUAAGAUUUAGAGAGAGAUAAUUCUCGCCGAGAAGAAAACUUGAUACGUGGGUAAACGUGCGUCCCUUUGAUCUUUCAUUUCCUUACUUAUCAAGUUAGGGGAAAUCACAGUCGUGAAAAUUCGCACGGUGCUGUGUAAUCGUUAACGAGGUGCCGUUAACGCUUCUCAUUAUCGUCCGCGCUGCAAUCGACAACGAUACAAAUCAGCCGCGGCGUCAGUUCACCUUCGACCACCGCGCGGCAUGCUCGAUCCCGGGCUCCACCGCGCGCGCGGGGCUUUUUGGACAAUCUCUCAUUAUAUCCCGUGACACACGAGCCGCUGAAUUUGUGCGCGUGCACGGUGACUUCUCUCGGUUCGGGGUAUCGAUUCCGCCGCGAGUGACACAUUUGUGCCGCGGAAAAAAGAAUCUACGCGCCGUCGAUCGUGACAUUAACCUUCGCGAUACUGAGCGCGCACAUGUGAAGUUCAAUUCAAUCGAUAUCUGGAAACGAACCCAACGGCGACUCGCGGUGAACCGUUUCUCUUCUUGUUAGACAAAAGGUCCUGCUGACUCGUGGCGACUACGAGGUUCUAAGAUACUUUUCAAGUUGAUGCACACAAUGCCGGCAUUCUGCGGAGUCUCCCCUUCUCGCCUCGGACGGAAUCAGGCGGAAUCGGUAUCGUGACCGAUAGCGCAUAACGCCCGGGCUCACCGAGCCGGGCGCUGAGAAAUUGCGUUUACAUGGUGAAGGGGGGAGGGGGGAGGAUCCCCGCACCACGGGGCGAGAUCACUCGCUCCGGGAGUCAUAAUAAAUGCGUUCGUGAAGCGUUGCCAGUCGAUCGUGUCGCGUCGCGCGACGCCGAUACAUCGCCACGGCGGACGCGCAUCAUCGCCGCCCGCCGCCGAUUUUCCCGAUGGUUGGCCCGGCCGCUCCAUCCAAUUUGCGAACUUUCGGUGCGACGUUAAUUGUCCCGCCCUAGUUUCGCUCCGUUAACCGCCGCUCCGUCGCGUUACACGCCUCGCAACGAUCCCGGGUCAGCGAUGUUACGCGUGCGACGAAAAAUGAGAUUUAAACUUCGCGAACCCGAGGAAACGGAAGGGGUUGGAAUCACUAAUGGGGUUUAGAGGGAAAAUGCAAAUCCCCCCCCCCCUUUUUUUUUUUUUUUCAAAUGUUACAUCUUUAAAUAGUAAAUUAAUAAAUUAUUAUAAUUGCAAAUUAUAAGAUUUUAUUUGCAAAAGGAAAAUACAUUUUGAACACUGACGUGGCACUGUUGAACAGUUUUUUUUUUUUAUAGAUUCGUAUAUCAUCCUUAUGUAUUAUUUGUAUAAGCCCGUGAAGCAAACAUACCGAGGAUGCUUCGUGCGAGUGCGUUUAUUCUUGGCUCUCGAGGAACGUUCGCUAAGGGCGAAUAUUCUCCCGAGGGAUAAUCCGCGAUCGCGUCGUGCGCUCGUAGACAGUGGGAAGAAAAAAGGACGUGACGGAGGCCUUAAAAGCCUUGUCCUCGCUUUUUAAAGAUCGGGGGGGACAGAGUGCCACGAGGAAUUUGGUGAAUUUCCACCGCGGCGUCGUGCGCGUGGCGGGCGCAUUGUCCGGGAUUAAACCUGCACGUUCCUGAAGAAAAGUUCACGGCGAAUCGAUCGCGCGAGUCGUCGACGGUCCUCCGUUGCCUUCGAUUCGGUGAUACUUUCGGUGCUAGGCGCUACCGAUGGCAAGAAUAAUAUCCAAGUUCGUGUGAAUUGUCAUCGGCGAUGAGGUACCAUAGAACGUCGUGCCAAUCUUUUCAUUGACUUCAACUGCAUAAAUGGAGCAAGCCGGAGCCGGUUACAUCAUAUCAUCGGAUGACUGUAACAGUAUAAGCUGCGAGAAUUCGUGAGAAAAGCGGAAGAAUCGGAGCUGAUGUAUCGUGAGAGAAAUGCGAGAAUCAUAUCGACGUUAGUAUAUCGGAUUUUAAGGAUGUACUGUGACUUGAUGAGAUAAUUAAGACAUAAAGACUUAUUAAAUUUAUUGUAAAUUAUACAUAAAUUAUGUGAAAUGUACAUUUAAAAGUAGUUUAUAAAGAAUUGUUGCGAAAGAGGAAAUACAAUAAUUAGAAACGUCAAGAAAAUCAGUGGUGAUUAAUAAACUGAUUAAUUCAAAUCCUCUUUUUUAAAUUUAAAAUUUAAUUUUUUUUUCACCGAUUUGCCGUUGUAAAUCCAAUAUGGAUUGGUUAUCUCUUUGCGUCUGUGGUACAAAGCGCAACGAUGGGAAGAUCAAGAAGGACGGGAAGCGCAAAAAGGGCAAGAAAUCUAAAAAUAAUUUCAAGCGUAAAGGAUCUUGCCAAGCGCCGCCGUUCAUCGUCGAAGAGUUCUUGCGCCAAUCGCAGGACGAACAGCCGAAAGAAACCGCGGAGAAGGAAUGGAUGAACGGAGAGAUUAUUAAUUGCUUCGAUAAUCGCGGGAAGGAUCAGAUCAGCUCUACUGAUCAAACCAGUCCAUCGAAAGUCAACGGCUCACCGCCUUGUCGAAUCGAUGACCACGGGAACUUCGAGGAGUCUCCCGGGAGUUCGGAAAAAAACGCGAGCGAAUCCGCUCGAGAAUCACGUGGCGUCGAUUAUUAUUACGACGACGAGGUGCUGCAUUCGAGAUCCGCAUCGAGCAUCGCGGACGAAGACGAGAGGCAAAUCAAGGACACUUUGGAUGAGAAGGAACACGACGAAGCGACGGAUCUCGAUGAAUUCGUUCCGAGAGCGGUGUCAAUCGGGGAGCUCGAAGAUUCGUCCUGGACGUUGGAAAUCGCGGAUAGACAGGACGCAGCUCCGAAACACAGCAUUGAUAGAAAAUGCGGCGAAAGGAUUUCGUCUAGGAUUAAUUUUUCCGACGAGAAACACGUAAAGUCGAAGGCUAGACCCGCCCCGAGGAAAGGGACCAGGAAUACUCUUCCGCCGAUCAAAGGGAGAGCUCGCGUUGAGGCCCUGGAUAAUGAGGAAGUGCAAACCCGCGGUGAGACGAAUAGAUUUGGAUUUAAGAGAACCGUGGCGUCACACGGGAACGAGAUUCGACGGAAAUUGAACUCGUGCAGCUUCGAGGUUCGGCCGUUCGAGGAUGAAGAACAAGGCAGGAAAGUGAAGACUCCGAGGGGCGAGGGAUCUAUGAUACCCAGGCUUGCAUCCCCCAUGCGACGAGAAGUGAAUUCGCUGAAAAACGACAACGAUAAAUCAGAAAUCGUGCAAAACGGUCGCGUACACUCGGCAGUCGUCUCCGGUAUUAAUUUAGAGCAGCACACCGUAACUGUAGAAUGGUUCGAGAGAGGAGAGACCAAAGGCAAAGAGGUGGAAAUCGACGCCAUUCUCGCCUUGAAUCGCGAUUUGAACCAAAAGAUGGGACCACGAGUGGGAUCCGAUAGCAUAUGUGCGCUACCGCAGGUGAUGAACAACCACAUGUUGGCAUCUUCGAGAGCGAGGGAGCCGGACUCCUCGGCUGAGGAGGACGAGGGGGUCGAAGAGUCGGAGAACCAAGAGGAGGGCUCCCUCGGACGCCAUGGUGGUCACACCACGAGAAACGGCCUCGCAUCCGCAACGCUUCCUGUACGAGUCACAUCUCGUCUCUCGCACUCCACCAGGCCGUCUAUUCCAGUGAAAGCUGGUUCGAAUAGGCAAUUUCAAGUUUCACGACAAACCGGUCGCCCGACGAACAUAAUGUCAUCAACCACGUCGGUGAACGGUCACGAAUCGGUUUCCGGCCUCACCGGACGUCGGGAACUCGAGAAUAUACCGCCGACGCCGACGACGACCGUCACGCAAUGCCUGAUGACCCCGGUGCAGAAUAGACAGCAGAAACAAGCGCAGCAACAACAGCAGCUGCAGCAGCAACAGCAAACUCAGGUAGAGAACGGUCGGGGUAGACGAUCUAAUGUUGUCAAGGAGGUCGAGAAACUGAAGAAGAACAGGGAGGAGAGGAGGCAACGACAAGCGGAAUUGAAGGAAGAAAAGGAAGCAUUGAUGAAUCUGGAUCCAGGCAACCCGAAUUGGGAGUUUCUUGCUAUGAUAAGGGAAUAUCAAAACAGUAUAGAAUUCAGGCCGUUGCGAGAGACUGAUGCUGUGGAAGAUCAUCAAAUCACUGUAUGCGUGAGAAAACGUCCACUUAACAAAAAAGAGCACGCGCGCAAGGAGAUCGAUGUGAUUAGCGUGCCUAGCAAGGAUCAGAUGGUGGUGCACGAGCCUAAGUCUAAAGUUGAUCUUACCAAAUAUCUUGAAAAUCAGAUCUUCAGAUUUGAUUAUGCGUUCGACGAGACGUGUAACAACGAGAUAGUCUAUAAGUACACGGCCAAGCCACUGGUACAGACAAUCUUCGAGGGUGGCAUGGCUACGUGCUUCGCGUACGGUCAGACCGGCAGCGGCAAGACUCAUACAAUGGGUGGCGAUUUCAACGGCAAAACGCAGGACUGCAAGAAGGGCAUCUAUGCCAUGGUUGCCAAAGACGUGUUCAAAUGCCUCAAAUUGGCCAAGUAUCGGCCUCUAAAUCUGGUCAUUUCCGCCAGCUUUUUCGAGAUUUACUCCGGCAAAGUGUUCGAUCUUUUGGCGGACAAGGAGAAAUUAAGAGUUCUAGAGGACGGCAAACAGCAGGUGCAGAUAGUUGGAUUGACGGAAAAAGUUGUGGAGACUUGCGACGAAGUAUUAAAGCUAAUACAGCACGGGAACAGCGCCAGAACGAGUGGUCAGACAAGUGCUAAUUCUAAUUCUUCAAGAUCACAUGCAGUAUUCCAAAUAAUAGCGCGCAUCCCGGGUACACACAAGGUGCACGGAAAGUUUUCACUCAUCGAUCUUGCUGGUAAUGAAAGGGGUGCCGAUACGUCAUCCGCUAAUAGGCAAACUCGAAUGGAAGGUGCUGAGAUCAAUAAAUCCCUAUUAGCGUUAAAAGAAUGUAUACGCGCAUUAAGUCGUAAGGGUACGCAUUUGCCUUUUAGAGCGAGCAAGCUGACUCAAGUGUUAAGAGAUAGUUUUAUCGGUGAAAAAUCAAAAACGUGCAUGAUAGCAAUGAUCAGUCCUGGGAUGAGUUCCUGUGAGCAUUCCCUAAAUACGUUGAGAUACGCGGAUCGAGUGAAAGAAUUGGCAGCGACCGAUCCUACGGAAAUAAAAACUUCACCAACGGACGACGAUCGAGAUAUGAAGAUUGAGGAACAGGGAAACAACAGCGUGUUAUCAGAUAGUGAUUUAGCGCAGCUUCGAUCUCUCAAUGAAGGUGAGCUUUCGCAAGAUUUAUACACUUUUCACGAGGCAGUAUCAGCUUUGCAAUUGCUCGAAGAAGAAGUGUUGGAUACGCACAAAUUAGUUAUGGAUAAUACAACUAAAUUCCUUAACGACGCGCACAGUGUAUUCAGCGCGACCCACGAAGUGGAUUAUGAUCAAGAAGAUACGCGCAGUAAGACUAAGGCAAAUUCGAUCGUCACGUUAAACCACCACCGGAGCAGCAGUCCGACAAACACGACGAUAAUGAUAAGCGACGAUGACAUGGACAACGACACGCAGACUUUAAAUAUAGCGAAAGUAGAUACAGUCGCGAAGAAUUCGUUGAUGUCUUCCUGGAAGGAUGAGAUGGAGCACAAAAAUGAUUUUAGUUCGAAUAAUACUGAGGAGGAUUCAGAUGUUCUUUUUUGCACGCCUCCUGUCAGAUUUGAGGCGGAAAAGAACAAAGUUUGAGUCACCCUACCUGAGGAGUUUCUCGUUACGUAGACGUCUUAUAGAGAGAAAACUAUUUUCCGACGCAUAUGCCCAAAAGUGGGAGCAGCUGUUAGUACAGCAACGUGACAUUCUGAACGCUGCGCUCGACCAAGUUAGCCAGUUCCGCGGGCAGCUGUUGCAGGAAGAACAAAUCAGCCAGAAGAUGA
This 6596-nucleotide unclassified non-coding RNA is filed under the name Monomorium pharaonis (pharaoh ant). Its description in RNAcentral is "kinesin-like protein Klp10A, transcript variant X7". Lineage: Eukaryota; Metazoa; Arthropoda; Insecta; Hymenoptera; Formicidae. The record is from RNAcentral.